GGAUUGCCCUAGUAACGGCGAGUGAAGCGGCAACAGCUCAAAUUUGAAAUCUGGCUUCCUGUUUCUGGGGGGUCCGAGUUGUACUUUGCAGAGGGUGCUUUGGCGUUGGUGGCGGUCUAAGUUCCAUGGAACUGGCCAUCGCAGAGGGUGAGAGUCCCGUAUGUGGUCGCCCGCCUUCGCUGUGUAAAGCCCCUUCGACGAGUCGCGUUGUUUGGGAAUGCAGCGCUAAAUGGGAGGUAAAUUUCUUCUAAAGCUAAAUACCGGCCAGAGACCGAUAGCGCACAAGUAGAGUGAUCGAAAGAUGAAAAGCACUUUGGAAAGAGAGUCAAAUAGCACGUGAAAUUGUUGAAAGGGAAGCGCUUGCAGCCAGACGUGCCUGCAGAAGCUCAGCCGGAGGGGGCUCCCCCGGUGCACUCUUCUGCGGGCAGGCCAGCAUCAGUUUGGGCGGCUGGAGAAUGGCCUCUGUCACGUAUCUCCUAUGGGGAUGGCCUUAUAGGGGAGGCGGAGUGCAGCCAGCCUGGACUGAGGUCCGUUUGGCAGCUAGGAUGCUGGCAUAAUGGCUGCAAGCGGCCCGUCUUGAAACACGGACCAAGGAGUCUAACGUCUAUGCGAGUGUUUGGGUGGCAAGCCCGGGCGCGCAAUGAAAGUGAACGGAGGUGGGAGCCUCUUCCUUGGGAGGAGGUGCAGCAUCGACCGAUCCUGAUGUCUUCGGACGGAUUUGAGUACGAGCAUAGCUGUUGGGACCCGAAAGAUGGUGUUCAAUGCCUAAAUAGGGUGAAGCCAGAGGAAACUCUGGUGGAGGCUCGCAGCGGUUCUGACGUGCAAAUCGAUCGUCAAAUUUGGGCAUAGGGCGAAAGACUAAUCGAUCC
Molecule: ribosomal RNA, 869 nt
Filed under: Raghukumaria keshaphalae
Lineage: Eukaryota; Fungi; Ascomycota; Dothideomycetes; Pleosporales
Description: partial large subunit ribosomal RNA
Rfam family: Eukaryotic large subunit ribosomal RNA
Source: RNAcentral